RNAcentral lists this ribosomal RNA (327 nucleotides) under uncultured eukaryote. RNAcentral's name for it is "partial 18S ribosomal RNA". It matches the Rfam family "Eukaryotic small subunit ribosomal RNA", at positions 1470 to 1796 of the family's 1831-position model. The record is from RNAcentral.
CCCUUAGAUGUUCUGGGCCGCACGCGCGCUACACUGACUGACUCAACGAGUUUACAACCUGUGCCGAAAGGUAUGGGUAAUCUUUUGAAAUUCAGUCGUGAUGGGGCUAGAUUAUUGCAACUAUUAAUCUUCAACGAGGAAUGCCUAGUAAGCGCGAAUCAUCAGUUCGCGUUGAUUACGUCCCUGCCCUUUGUACACACCGCCCGUCGCUCCUACCGAUUGAAUGGUCCGGUGAAGCCUCGGGAUUGUGGCUCGUUCCCUUUAUUGGGAGUUUGUCGCGAGAACUUGUCUAAACCUUAUCAUUUAGAGGAAGGUGAANUCGUAACA